AUGAACGCUGGCGGCGUGCUUAACACCUGCAAGUCGUACGAUGAAGCCCAGCUUGCUGGGUGGAUUAGUGGCGAACGGGUGAGUAACACGUGAGUAACCUGCCCUUUACUCUGGGAUAAGCCCGGGAAACUGGGUCUAAUACCGGAUAGGAGCGCCUGUCGCAUGACGGGUGUUGGAAAGAUUUUUCGGUCAUGGAUGGACUCGCGGCCUAUCAGCUUGUUGGUGAGGUAAUGGCUCACCAAGGCGACGACGGGUAGCCGGCCUGAGAGGGUGACCGGCCACACUGGGACUGAGACACGGCCCAGACUCCUACGGGAGGCAGCAGUGGGGAAUAUUGCACAAUGGGCGGAAGCCUGAUGCAGCGACGCCGCGUGAGGGAUGACGGCCUUCGGGUUGUAAACCUCUUUCAGUAGGGAAGAAGCGAAAGUGACGGUACCUGCAGAAGAAGCACCGGCUAACUACGUG
This 465-nucleotide ribosomal RNA is filed under the name uncultured bacterium. RNAcentral's name for it is "partial 16S ribosomal RNA". It matches the Rfam family "Bacterial small subunit ribosomal RNA", at positions 29 to 507 of the family's 1533-position model. The record is from RNAcentral.